Molecule: ribosomal RNA, 253 nt
Filed under: uncultured bacterium
Lineage: Bacteria
Description: partial 16S ribosomal RNA
Rfam family: Bacterial small subunit ribosomal RNA
Source: RNAcentral
CACGGGGGGAGCAGGCGUUGUUCGGAAUCACUGGGCGUAAAGGGCGUGUAGGCGGUCAGGUAAGUGGAAUGUGAAAUCCCUCGGCUCACCCGAGGACCUGCAUCCCAAACUGCCUGGCUUGAGUAUGGGAGAGGAUGAGGGAAUUCCUGGUGUAGCGGUGAAAUGCGUAGAUAUCAGGAGGAACACCGGUGGCGAAGGCGCUCAUCUGGCCCAACACUGACACUCAGACCCGAAAGUGCGGGGAUCAAACAGG